AGGGCAGUAGCUCAAUUGGCAGAGCACCGGUCUCCAAAACCGGUUGUUGGGGGUUCAAGUCCCUCCUGCCCUGCCA
Molecule: transfer RNA, 76 nt
Filed under: Verrucomicrobiota bacterium
Lineage: Bacteria; Pseudomonadati; Verrucomicrobiota
Description: Verrucomicrobia bacterium tRNA-Trp
Rfam family: tRNA
About the family: Transfer RNA (tRNA) molecules are approximately 80 nucleotides in length.
Source: RNAcentral